GCUCCGUCACCGCACUGUCCAGGAUGGUGCUGGCCAAGUGGGGAGAGCCCAGGGUUAUACACGAGGGGGCCCCAAAACCCCAAAAUGCACUUUAACCUUUACAGACAUGUUUUUGGACCGCUGAGGGGACACAGCCUCCGCGCACGGCAGAAGCAGAGAGGGCGGAGAGAGAAAGAAAGAGAGAAAAUGUAAAGGACCACAUCGGUGAUAAGAAAUGAACGUUGGCACUGGCAAGAUUUCCCAACAUUUGGGCGUGUUUUCGUCUCGCUUUGACUGCUCGAUAUCGGCCGUCCGCAGCAGCUUCCAGAAAUGUCACACACAGCUGAGCGACACACCUGCUGACAGUGGCACGAUAAUUAUGUCUGCACACUAUUGUUUGUUACCAACACCCUGAUAAAGGGUUUUUUUUUUUAUGUUUGAGCGCUUUAAAAAAAAAAAAAAAAAAAGGCUUUUUAGUACAUUUCUUUUAUCCUAACUAAACGCAUGAGUCUGGAAUUCUUUCCAACCUCUUUUUUGGUCAAGGGGAUAUGCUGAGAAAUGCAUUCAUUCGUUCUCUUCCACUUUUCCGAGGUCAGCAGAGAAGCCCAGACUUCCCCCUCCCC
Molecule: long non-coding RNA, 602 nt
Organism: Phyllopteryx taeniolatus (common seadragon)
Lineage: Eukaryota; Metazoa; Chordata; Actinopteri; Syngnathiformes; Syngnathidae
Exons: 3
Source: RefSeq, a predicted model, not a curated record